This 1091-nucleotide unclassified non-coding RNA is filed under the name Hevea brasiliensis (rubber tree). Lineage: Eukaryota; Viridiplantae; Streptophyta; Magnoliopsida; Malpighiales; Euphorbiaceae. The record is from RNAcentral.
GAUAAUUUGGAGCUGUGGGGGGCUGCAGUGAAGUGGGGGUCAGAAUUUAAGUUCAAUUCUUCUAGGGCGUGUUGUGAGGCCUGCAAGGCUAUGUGUCAUGGCAAUGAUGGGCCUUGUUUGUGUGAUACUUGGGUGUUUUGUGGGAAUAAAGAAACUUGUGGAUCGAAAUUUGGUGAGUGUUGGUUGAAGAAACAGAAGGAUACAUUGACCCCUGAUAGGCAGGAAGCAGGUGAUAAAGUCAGCUGGACUUCAGGACUCAUCUUUGGAAAAGGAGAGGGCAUUGUUGGCUUGGAAACAGACUAUGGCACUCUUCAUAUAAAACUUUUCCCUGAUUGUGCUCCACAUUCUGUAGCUUACAUUCUUGAGUUGUUAGCAUUGCGCCAUUGCGCUGGUUGUGAAUUUUUUCGUGCAGAGAGCCGGGGCCAAUCUUGGGAUUCAGAAGGAAAGCACAUAAAAAAUGCUCCUUUUGGCCCUCCUUUUGCCUUGAUUCAAGGAACAUUGGAAGCUCAAGGAAAAACAUUCAAGAAAAUCCCAAAAGAAGUUUGCCCAACCAUAAGAAGGGGUUCAGUUGCUUGGGUUGGUUCUGGCCCAGAAUUCUUGAUUAGCCUAGCCAACCACCAAGAAUGGAAAAAAGCAUAUACUGUCUUUGGUUCUGUUCUUCCAGAAGACAUGAAAAUUGCAGAGAAAAUUGCCCAACUCCCUACCAAGUCAGAUGUUUGGAACAACAUUAACGUAUCUGUAUUGGAAAAGUCUGUUCCCUUGAUGUUCGGAAGUAUCAAGACAAGUCAUGGAGAACUUGGAACAAAUGUGAAAUCAGAUUGAAAAUAUUUAUAGUAUAACAAUUCCUUUGUUAUUCAGAAGAAUCAACUUGAAUAUGGAAGAACCAUGUACAAGAGUGAAGCUAUAUGGUUGGUGAAGCAUACCGACGUGCCCUCUUAUUUGGUUUUGUUUGAGUUUUGCUUGUUUAUGCUCCCUCAACUGUACAUUGUGAACUCAAUUUUUGUCUGUCUUUUGUUUAUAUAUGUUACGAUCCUCUGUUUUUUACCAUAAUAUGAUCAAAUGUAUGCAUUAAUGCCCAUGUUUAGCCCCAG